ACGUAGGUGGCAAGCGUUGUCCGGAAUUACUGGGCGUAAAGCGCGCGUAGGCGGCUUUGCAAGUCGGGUGUGAAAUCCCCAGGCUUAACCUGGGAACUGCAUUCGAGACUGCAUUGCUAGAGUAUGGGAGAGGGAAGUGGAAUUUCCGGUGUAGCGGUGAAAUGCGUAGAUAUCGGAAGGAACAUCAGUGGCGAAAGCGACUUCCUGGACCAAUACUGACGCUCAUGUGCGAAAGCGUGGGGAGCAAACAGGA
RNAcentral lists this ribosomal RNA (253 nucleotides) under uncultured prokaryote. RNAcentral's name for it is "partial 16S ribosomal RNA". It matches the Rfam family "Bacterial small subunit ribosomal RNA", at positions 525 to 777 of the family's 1533-position model. The record is from RNAcentral.